Molecule: long non-coding RNA, 396 nt
Organism: Syngnathus acus (greater pipefish)
Lineage: Eukaryota; Metazoa; Chordata; Actinopteri; Syngnathiformes; Syngnathidae
Exons: 3
Source: RefSeq, a predicted model, not a curated record
GUGGGGUGCCAACCAGCCGCAGGGCAUAUACAAAGACAAUCAACCAGGCGUACCUGCAUGCACACUGAGCUGGACUUGAACCCACGCUGCCCACACACAAGUCAGGAUUACAGCAUGAAGGAUAUUCUUACUUUAUCUCAACAACAUCUGGAGAAGAUUUGACCAGAGCUUGUGGCGUUAAGUUGACUCGAGCGGCGAAUUAAGAAUCAGGAUGUCGUCACCGGCUUUGAGGUAAACUGGGGGUGGGCUACAACCUGGUCACAAUCGCAAGGCACAAAAAAGACAAAGAACCGUGCGUACGGUCUUCCAAGACCCUAACGUGCAUAUUUUCAAGAAAGAGGAAGAAGCCAAAGUACUUGGAGAAAACCCAGCACAUUUAACCCAGGACCUCGCAAC